RNAcentral lists this ribosomal RNA (442 nucleotides) under uncultured bacterium. RNAcentral describes it as "partial 16S ribosomal RNA". It matches the Rfam family "Bacterial small subunit ribosomal RNA", at positions 338 to 795 of the family's 1533-position model. The record is from RNAcentral.
CCUACGGGUGGCAGCAGUGGGGAAUAUUGGGCAAUGGGCGAAAGCCUGACGCAGCAACGCCGCGUGAAGGAAGAAGGCCUUCGGGUUGUAAACUUCUUUCGACAGGGAAGAGCAGAAGACGGUACGUGUCGAAUAAGCCACGGCUAACUACGUGCCAGCAGCCGCGGUAACACGUAGGUGGCAAGCGUUGUCCGGAUUUAGUGGGUGUAAAGGGCGUGUAGGCGGGGUGACAAGUCAGAUGUGAAAUCCGGGGGCUCAACCCCCGAACUGCAUUUGAAACUGUUGGUCUUGAGUAUCGGAGAGGCAGGCGGAAUUCCUGGUGUAGCGGUGAAAUGCGUAGAUAUUAGGAGGAACACCAGUGGCGAAGGCGGCCUGCUGGACGACAACUGACGGUGAGGCGCGAAAGUGUGGGUAUCGAACAGGAUUAGAUACCCUAGUAGUC